This 729-nucleotide small RNA is filed under the name Arabidopsis thaliana (thale cress). Its description in RNAcentral is "ATSL064370". Lineage: Eukaryota; Viridiplantae; Streptophyta; Magnoliopsida; Brassicales; Brassicaceae. The record is from RNAcentral.
CAUUAGAAAAAUUUAAUCAAAAACAAAAUUUUUUAAUGACAUUAUUAAGAUUACCAAAAUUAUUUAACGACAAUAUUCAUCUCUUAAUUAUAGGGCUUAUUGGAUUUAAAGACGGGUCAUCAAAGAUUUUCUAAACUGAAGCAAAAUAUACUAAAUAUUCAAAUAUCUAUCUAUUACCAAAUUAUAAACAAUUAAGUUCGUAAAACAAUUUAAUAUUUUAUAUACGAAAUAAAUUAAAUCUUAAUCACAUAAAAAUUAGCACAAAAAAAUAUGGUACAUUCGGGUCUAUAGUAUUUUUGCAAGACUUUUUUGGUGGAUUUGGGUAAAAAUGCAUUCGGGUCAUAUGGUACAUUCCCCUAUUAAAUAAAUAUGGUGUACUUCUAUGUUAUUAGCUAAAAUGUUUAGAUUAUAAUUCAAAGUCAUAUCAUAAAUAAAAUUACUAUUAAUAAAAUAAAUGGCUUUUUAACAAGACGGAUUUGGAGGGACGGGUUUUUGAAUCAACAUUAAUAAAAAGUAAAAUAUAAUUAAUCCACAGUUUCAAUACGGGUUAAAUCUUUAAUUUAUUAUUUUUAAGACCACUACUAUUAAACAUAUCAAAUCAUCCUAAUUUAGAAAAGAUUAUAUAAAACCAAAAAUGUUAUGUGGUAUGUAUAAUGUUACUAUAUAUAAAAUUAAACUAUAAAAUAUAAAUGUAUUAGAGAAUGAUACAAUUUGCAAAACUUUUAUAUA